GAUGAACGCUGGCGGCGUGCCUAAUACAUGCAAGUCGAGCGAACGGACGAGAAGCUUGCUUCUCUGAUGUUAGCGGCGGACGGGUGAGUAACACGUGGAUAACCUACCUAUAAGACUGGAAUAACUUCGGGAAACCGGAGCUAAUACCGGAUGAUAUUUUGAACCGCAUGGUUCAAAAGUGAAAGACGGUCUUGCUGUCACUUAUAGAUGGAUCCGCGCUGCAUUAGCUAGUUGGUAAGGUAACGGCUUACCAAGGCAACGAUGCAUAGCCGACCUGAGAGGGUGAUCGGCCACACUGGAACUGAGACACGGUCCAGACUCCUACGGGAGGCAGCAGUAGGGAAUCUUCCGCAAUGGGCGAAAGCCUGACGGAGCAACGCCGCGUGAGUGAUGAAGGUCUUCGGAUCGUAAAACUCUGUUAUUAGGGAAGAACAUAUGUGUAAGUAACUGUGCACAGCUUGACGGUACCUAAUCAGAAAGCCACGGCUAACUACGUG
This 497-nucleotide ribosomal RNA is filed under the name uncultured bacterium. Its description in RNAcentral is "partial 16S ribosomal RNA". It matches the Rfam family "Bacterial small subunit ribosomal RNA", at positions 28 to 507 of the family's 1533-position model. The record is from RNAcentral.